This 477-nucleotide ribosomal RNA is filed under the name uncultured bacterium. Its description in RNAcentral is "bacterial SSU rRNA". It matches the Rfam family "Bacterial small subunit ribosomal RNA", at positions 25 to 518 of the family's 1533-position model. The record is from RNAcentral.
CAGGACGAACGCUGGCGGCGUGCCUAACACAUGCAAGUCGAGCGAGGAGAUUCCUUCGGGAUGAUCCUAGCGGCGGACGGGUGGGUAACACGUGGGCAACCUGCCUCAUAGAGAGGAAUAGCCUUCCGAAAGGGAGAUUAAUACCUCAUAACAUUGCAGUUUCGCAUGGAACAGCAAUUAAAGGAGUAAUCCGCUAUGAGAUGGGCCCGCGGCGCAUUAGCUAGUUGGUGAGGUAACGGCUCACCAAGGCGACGAUGCGUAGCCGACCUGAGAGGGUGAUCGGCCACAUUGGGACUGAGACACGGCCCAGACUCCUACGGGAGGCAGCAGUGGGGAAUAUUGCACAGUGGGGGAAACCCUGAUGCAAGCAACGCCGCGUGAGUGAUGACGGCCUUCGGGUUGUAAAGCUCUGUCUUCAGGGACGAUAAUGACGGUACCUGAGGAGGAAGCCACGGCUAACUACGUGCCAGCCGCUGC